ACAGGCGUGGUGGAAUUGGUAGACGCGCGGGAUUUAGGUUCCCGUAUUAUUUUGAUGUGAGAGUUCGAGUCUCUCCGCCUGUA
This 83-nucleotide transfer RNA is filed under the name Euglena viridis. RNAcentral's name for it is "tRNA-Leu". It matches the Rfam family "tRNA". Rfam says of the family: Transfer RNA (tRNA) molecules are approximately 80 nucleotides in length. Their secondary structure includes four short double-helical elements and three loops (D, anti-codon, and T loops). Further hydrogen bonds mediate the characteristic L-shaped molecular structure. tRNAs have two regions of fundamental functional importance: the anti-codon, which is responsible for specific mRNA codon recognition, and the 3' end, to which the tRNAs corresponding amino acid is attached (by aminoacyl-tRNA synthetases). tRNAs cope with the degeneracy of the genetic code in two manners: having more than one tRNA (with a specific anti-codon) for a particular amino acid; and 'wobble' base-pairing, i.e. permitting non-standard base-pairing at the 3rd anti-codon position. The record is from RNAcentral. Lineage: Eukaryota; Euglenozoa; Euglenophyceae; Euglenales; Euglenaceae.